Molecule: ribosomal RNA, 414 nt
Filed under: Triticum aestivum (bread wheat)
Lineage: Eukaryota; Viridiplantae; Streptophyta; Magnoliopsida; Poales; Poaceae
Description: partial small subunit ribosomal RNA
Source: RNAcentral
AUGCGGCAACUCCAUCAUGGUCAGCCCCUGCCGUGGCUACUGAUUGGCGAUCUUAAUGAAAUUCAGUUUCUGCAUGAGAAGGAAGGGGGUAACCCGCGACCAGCGCAAUAUAUGGAAGCUUUUCAAGAUGCAAUCGACGAUUGUGAAUUGCAUGAUAUGGGGUUCCUUGGAGACCCUUUUACUUGGCGUCAUGGGAGGAUACGGGAAAGGCUAGACAAGGGACUAGUGAAUGAUGCAUGGGCGAAUUUGUUUGCACAUGCGGCCCUACAGAACUUGGAGUUCAACCACUCGGAUCACAGACCACUUUUGGUGGACACGGAGUAUUACUUGCUACCGGCAAAUAACUCAAACAAUCAUGUGAAGAGGUUUGAGGCGCGGUGGUUGAGAAAACAGAGUUUCAACGAGACAGUUUAA